UACGGGAGGCAGCAGUGGGGAAUAUUGGGCAAUGGGGGAAACCCUGACCCAGCAACGCCGCGUGAGGGAAGAAGGUUUUCGGAUUGUAAACCUCUGUCCUUGGGGACGAACAAAUGACGGUACCCGAGGAGGAAGCCCCGGCUAACUACGUGCCAGCAGCCGCGGUAAU
Molecule: ribosomal RNA, 169 nt
Filed under: uncultured rumen bacterium
Lineage: Bacteria
Description: partial 16S ribosomal RNA
Rfam family: Bacterial small subunit ribosomal RNA
Source: RNAcentral